RNAcentral lists this unclassified non-coding RNA (296 nucleotides) under uncultured fungus. RNAcentral's name for it is "sequence contains 18S rRNA gene, ITS1, 5.8S rRNA gene". The stretch from base 1 to 127 matches the Rfam family "Eukaryotic small subunit ribosomal RNA", at positions 1707 to 1831 of the family's 1831-position model. The record is from RNAcentral. Lineage: Eukaryota; Fungi.
CUUCCGGACUGGCCCGGAAUGGGGGGCGACCCCCGUCCUGGGCCGGAAAGUUAUCCGAACUCGGUCAUUUAGAGGAAGUAAAAGUCGUAACAAGGUCUCCGUUGGUGAACCAGCGGAGGGAUCAUUACUGAGUACUACACUCUCUACCCUUUGUGAACUAUUAUACCUGUUGCUUCGGCGGCGCCCGCAGGGUGCCCGCCGGUCUCAUCAGAAUCUCUGUUUUCGAACCCGACGAUACUUCUGAGUGUUCUUAGCGAACUGUCAAAACUUUUAACAACGGAUCUCUUGGCUCCAGC